RNAcentral lists this ribosomal RNA (1044 nucleotides) under uncultured bacterium. RNAcentral's name for it is "bacterial SSU rRNA". It matches the Rfam family "Bacterial small subunit ribosomal RNA", at positions 1 to 1064 of the family's 1533-position model. The record is from RNAcentral.
GGAGCAAGAAAAGCGCGGAUCUUCAGAGAUUAGAGUUUGAUCAUGGCUCAGGGUGAAUGCUAGCGGUGCGCCUAACACAUGCAAGUCGAGCGAGAGUAGUAGCAAUACUACAAAAGCGGCAGACGGGUGAGGAACACGUUGGUACCUCCCCUUUAGUCAGGGAUAGCCAGCCGAAAGGCUGAUUAAUACCGGAUAGUCUCUUCGGAGUAAAGAUUUAUCGCUAAAGGAAGGGCCUGCGUUCUAUCAGCUAGUUGGUGAGGUAAUAGCUCACCAAGGCUAUGACGGAUAGCUGAUCUGAGAGGAUGAUCAGCCACAAUGGAACUGAGACACGGUCCAUACUCCUACGGGAGGCAGCAGUGAGGAAUCUUCCACAAUGGACGAAAGUCUGAUGGAGCGACACCGCGUGAAGGAUGAAGGGGGAAACUUUGUAAACUUCUUUUCUGAGGGAGCAUAAUGAGAGUACUUCAGGAAUAAGGGACGGCAAAUCUCGUGCCAGCAGCCGCGGUAAUACGAGAGUCCCAAGCAUUGCCCGGAAUCACUGGGUGUAAAGCGUAUGUAGGUGGUUUGGUAAGUAGGGUAUGAAAGACCGAAGCUUAACUUCGUGUUUGUGCUCUAAACUGCCAUUCUUGAAUUAGGAAGAGGUAAGCGGAAUUCUAAGUGUAGGGGUGCAAUCCGUAGAUACUUAGAAGAACACCAAAAGCGAAGGCAGCUUACUGGGACUAUAUUGACACUGAGAUACGAAAGCGUGGGGAGCGAAAAGGAUUAGAUACCCUUGUAGUCCACGCCCUAACGAUGAUAAUUAAGUGUUGCGCUUGUCGCAGUGCUGUAGCUAACGCGUUAAAUUAUCCACCUGAGAAGUACGGUCGCAAGAUUAAAACUCAAAGGAAUAGACGGGGACCCACACAAGCAGUGGAUCAUGUUGUUUAAUUCGACAAUAAACGGGGAACCUUACCCAGACUUGACAUCCUAGGAAUCCACUGGAAACAGAGGAGUGCUCGCAAGAGAGCCUAGAGACAGGUGCUGCAUGGUUGUCGUCAGCUCGUU